CAUGCAGUCGAGGGGCAGCAUCAUCAAAGCUUGCUUUGAUGGAUGGCGACCGGCGCACGGGUGAGUAACACGUAUCCAACCUGCCGACAACACUGGGAUAGCCUUUCGAAAGAAAGAUUAAUACCGGAUGGCAUAGUUUUCCCGCAUGGGAUAAUUAUUAAAGAAUUUCGGUUGUCGAUGGGGAUGCGUUCCAUUAGGCAGUUGGCGGGGUAACGGCCCACCAAACCAACGAUGGAUAGGGGUUCUGAGAGGAAGGUCCCCCACAUUGGAACUGAGACACGGUCCAAACUCCUACGGGAGGCAGCAGUGAGGAAUAUUGGUCAAUGGACGAGAGUCUGAACCAGCCAAGUAGCGUGAAGGAUGACUGCCCUAUGGGUUGUAAACUUCUUUUAUACGGGAAUAAAGUUAGCCACGUGUGGCUUUUUGUAUGUACCGUAUGAAUAAGGAUCGGCUAACUCCGUGCCAGCAGCCGCGGUAAUACGGAGGAUCCGAGCGUUAUCCGGAUUUAUUGGGUUUAAAGGGAGCGUAGGCGGGUUGUUAAGUCAGUUGUGAAAGUUUGCGGCUCAACCGUAAAAUUGCAGUUGAUACUGGCGACCUUGAGUGCAACAGAGGUAGGCGGAAUUCGUGGUGUAGCGGUGAAAUGCUUAGAUAUCACGAAGAACUCCGAUUGCGAAGGCAGCUUACUGGAUUGUAACUGACGCUGAUGCUCGAAAGUGU
Molecule: ribosomal RNA, 717 nt
Filed under: uncultured bacterium
Lineage: Bacteria
Description: bacterial SSU rRNA
Rfam family: Bacterial small subunit ribosomal RNA
Source: RNAcentral